UGACCGCUGGCGGCGUGCCUAAUACAUGCACGUCGAGCGAACGGACGCGAAGCUUGCUUCUCUGAUGUUAGCGGCGGACGGGUGAGUAACACGUGGAUAACCUACCUAUAAGACUGGGAUAACUUCGGGAAACCGGAGCUAAUACCGGAUAAUAUUUUGAACCGCAUGGUUCAAAAGUGAAAGACGGUCUUGCUGUCACUUAUAGAUGGAUCCGCGCUGCAUUAGCUAGUUGGUAAGGUAACGGCUUACCAAGGCAACGAUGCAUAGCCGACCUGAGAGGGUGAUCGGCCACACUGGAACUGAGACACGGUCCAGACUCCUACGGGAGGCAGCAGUAGGGAAUCUUCCGCAAUGGGCGAAAGCCUGACGGAGCAACGCCGCGUGAGUGAUGAAGGUCUUCGGAUCGUAAAACUCUGUUAUUAGGGAAGAACAUAUGUGUAAGUAACUGUGCACAUCUUGACGGUACCUAAUCAGAAAGCCACGGCUAACUACGUG
Molecule: ribosomal RNA, 495 nt
Filed under: uncultured bacterium
Lineage: Bacteria
Description: partial 16S ribosomal RNA
Rfam family: Bacterial small subunit ribosomal RNA
Source: RNAcentral